Molecule: ribosomal RNA, 510 nt
Filed under: uncultured bacterium
Lineage: Bacteria
Description: bacterial SSU rRNA
Rfam family: Bacterial small subunit ribosomal RNA
Source: RNAcentral
GAUCAUGGCUCAGGAUGAACGCUAGCGGCAGGCUUAACACAUGCAAGUCGAGGGGCAGCGGGAUGUAGCAAUACAUUGCCGGCGACCGGCGGAUGGGUGCGUAACGCGUAUGCAACCUACCUAUACAGGGGAAUAACCUUUCGAAAGGGAGACUAACACCCCAUAGUAUUGAUUUAAGGCAUCUUAGAUUAAUUAAAUAUUUAUAGGUAUAAGAUGGGCAUGCGUAUGAUUAGCUAGUUGGUAAGGUAACGGCUUACCAAGGCGACGAUCAUUAGGGGUUCUGAGAGGAAGGUCCCCCACACUGGUACUGAGACACGGACCAGACUCCUACGGGAGGCAGCAGUGAGGAAUAUUGGUCAAUGGGCGCAAGCCUGAACCAGCCAUGCCGCGUGCAGGAAAGACGGCCUUAUGGGUUGUAAACUGCUUUUACAUAAGACUAACCGUAUAUUUGCGAAUAUACCUGAAUGUAUUAUGGGAAUAAGGAUCGGCUAACUCCGUGCCAGCAGCUGC